This is a long non-coding RNA of Carya illinoinensis, 2638 nucleotides long. RefSeq lists it as uncharacterized. The record is from RefSeq and is a predicted model, not a curated record. Lineage: Eukaryota; Viridiplantae; Streptophyta; Magnoliopsida; Fagales; Juglandaceae. The transcript is spliced from 3 exons.
CUUGCUCCGUUCACCUCUCAUUUUCUGCAUCAUUUUUAUAGCUUCUUCUCCUGCAGCAGACCGGCUCCUUCUUCCUUCUUUGUGACGCCGAAUCCUUCACAUUUUCGUGUGAUUUUGAUGUAAAUGAUAAAGAGGCCGAGCCUGAGAAUGCAGCUCUGUCGAAGGAUUGAUUGGGUGCCUCUUACUUGUAUAUGUUGGAAAUUAUUUUUUCCUGCUUUUAAAUUAUAUAUUUUGAUUAAUGACUUUGUUAUUGAAAAGUUUUAAUAUUUUUGGUAUGCUUAUUUUUAAGCAAGAUUUGUAUUUAAACAAUUAUGAUACUUAGUGAUCGACUUAAUUCAUUCCACUGCGUUGUUUUUAUUAUACACUUUUGCUUGUGCACACACUUGAGACUUAGCGAUGGGAUGCGUGACCCGUAUUAUCAUCAUCUCGGACAUCUCGAUUUCCACGUGUAUGUACGUGGAAAGUUAGGGACAUCACAAAACGUAGUGCCUAAUUUUGCUGUACAAUGUGUAACUUAAAAAACAUAGCAAAUUGAACAAAAUUCAAUUUUUACAUGACGUGCACAACCAGCAUUAAGAUACCGGCAGCUCACAUAAAUUCUACAUCUUCAUGUCGUUCCAGGACAAUGGUGGCAAGAGCAAGUCUAUACGAUGAGGAUCUUAGAGCAUCCGCAUCGGUCUCGCCAAUGCCUUGUCUAAGUUUAACAUAGCCAGCAGGUUAACCAUUUUUCAUCUACAAUAGCCUAGUCAAAUUUUAAAAGUUUGACAUAAAGGCUACAGUAAUUGUUGGGUCCUCGCCAACAAUGAAGAGUUACUGUACCAAGUCUAUACAAUAGUUUAUCAUUUUUCUUGUACCGGCUUUCUCUCAUUUCCCUCGGUUUACCGUUUUUCCCCUCAUUUCUCUCAUUUCCCUCUGCAGCUUCUCCCGAACGAAGCUCUCCCCCCAUUCGACCUUCUUCGUCCAGCAUUGGCGAAUCAAAUCCACCGGUUGCCUUCUCCAGCAGACGCCGUCGUCUCCGAACUGUCGACGCCAUUAUCGAAUCACUUGACCGAACAUCAGCUUGCUCCACGAUUGGAAGGCAUCAGUUUGCUCCACCAUUCACGCCGACGGUUCGAAGACCCACGAAUCCGACGCUACCGUCGCCCCUGCUUGCUUAGAUAAAAAAUAAAUAAAUAAAAAAUGAAACGUAUUCGUUCUUGAAAGUUCGUAGCUUUGAGACAAAAAGCAAAAUGAACGAGGACGACGACAAAGGCAACUCUUGCUCCACAGGGGAUUUGAACCUUUGCCCCAUCUGCCUCGGCCCUAUCUUUCAAGAUUCCUACCUUGAUAAAUGUUUCCGUAUGUUUCUUAUAUCUUUUCUCUCUCUGUUUGGGUGCCGAGAUAGUGAAGGAAAUGAAAAUCUAGAGGGUUCUUUUUAGACAAUCAUUAUUGUUGGAUUUUGAAACUUAUCUAUUACCUUAAUUUUGGUUUCCAAAUGAUGAAAAUUUGACAUCUAUUUAAGAUUUCAAUUUUUUUUUUCUUGAUUUUUUCCUUCUUUUUUUUUUUGGCAAUUAAAUUGGCAUCACUGUAAUAAGUUAAAGACUGUUGUUUGUUCAAUCCCAUGAGUUGGGUUUUUGCAAGACCUCUAAAAUUGUUAUAUAAAGAAACCCUUUUCAGCUUUCACUGCUUCUAACUGUUUGAUCGAAAAUUUGUUUGUAUUUUAUGUGAAUUAAUUUACGUCUUGUUUAAAUUAUUGAAGUUUAAUUAUUUGUUUAAGUUUCAUUUUUCCCAGCAUGAAAUAAUUUCCUGAAUUAAUCUGAUCAGGUAAUGUUGUGGAAGUCAUGGUAUGUAAAACAAUACUAACAUGGUAGACUCGUUCUUAAGAGCAUUGUGGUAGAAUAAAACGCAAUUCCACCGUCUUUGUAGCAUGUGAGUUUUAUGGUCUGCAUAGUUUCGAAGCUGAGUAACUGACAAGAAACUAAUCACUUAUUAAAAAAAAAAUUAAAGGAAAUUAAUCACCAACUGACCGCCAAAAUGUCUGCAAAGGUCUUGGAGAGGAGAGAUGAACCGAUUGCCAGAUUUUUGUGGUGAUAUGCAUGCAUGCUUGUAUGUGAAGGUGGUGCUGAUGGGAGUGGGGUUGACUAGAGAAACUAAAGCACUUGGUUGGGUACAUCUUUGCAGAAUCAUCACUGUUUACAAUUACCAGAGUUCAUAUUAGAAGUCCACAAUUGUUUUCAACAUUCUUCUAAUCAUGUCAUGUUUCUUAAUUUUGUUGUCUAUGGUUCAGGAAUGUAUAAUGCUUGUUAUUAAUUUCCCAAUUUAAUGGGGAGUGAACAUACUGCCUUCUUCCCCUGUAAGCAUGAAAUUAGUGCAGGAAAUUGUAUUUAGUCUUUUAUUAAUCUUGAUAAUUUUAUUCAUAUGUUACAGAUAAGUUUUGUUAUACUUGCAUUGUACAAUGGACCAAAGUUGUUGCUGGCAAGCUCUCUCGCCCACUUCCCUCUGUAAAAUGUCCCCUCUGCAAGGUUCAGUUUGAUCUAUUGUUCUUUCAGACUACUACACCCUGGUUGGGUUUCUUUUUUUCUUUCUUUUCCUGCUUCGAAAGUACUGUGUUCCCAAGUUGUUCCUUUAUUUAUUUAUUUAAUAAAGUUAUUAAUUAAUA